RNAcentral lists this ribosomal RNA (253 nucleotides) under uncultured bacterium. RNAcentral's name for it is "partial 16S ribosomal RNA". It matches the Rfam family "Bacterial small subunit ribosomal RNA", at positions 524 to 776 of the family's 1533-position model. The record is from RNAcentral.
UACGGGGGGGGCAAGCGUUGUUCGGAAUCACUGGGCGUAAAGGGCGUGUAGGCGGUCAAGUAAGUGGAAUGUGAAAGCCCCCGGCUUACCCGGGGAUCUGCAUCCCAAACUGCUUGGCUUGAGUACGGGAGAGGAUAGGGGAAUUCCUGGUGUAGCGGUGAAAUGCGUAGAUAUCUGGAGGAACACCGGUGGCGAAGGCGGCAUCCUGGACCAACACUGACGCUGAGGAGCGAAAGCCAGGGGAGCAAACGGG